AGCGGUGCCCGUGCAGAUCAGCAGAGAUGGCAGAAGCUUCUGUGGCUGUUGAGUUACAGGUGUGUCUGCAGGGAGGACUUUCCCAGGUCCUUUGGUGGAUGUUGCAUGCAAGCCCAGCUCCCAUGGCAGGGGUCCUCCAAGACGGAAGAAGAAACCUACAGGAGCUUGUACAUCCCUGGAGGAAUCCAAAUAUCUGAAAAAACUCCUGAGUGAUGUGGACAGCCAGCGUGAUGCAGCCAGCACCUCAACACAUUCUGACAUCAUCUGGAAAAGCAUGAGAAGAGUUUUCUGCUGGGGAACACCUUGUUUGAUUAAGUUGAUGGCCAUUGUGGCUGGUGCGGCACUGUGCCUGAUGAUGUGCUGUGCAGGAAUCUGGUAUUGCUGGACGAGAAAAUGGCACCACCUUGAAGAAAAGCUGAAAGCUGGUGGCUGGUCACGAGACCUCUACAGCCAAAAGAGCAAUAGCAGCAGUUCUGAGUCCGAUUAUGAGUCUGAUGAGUGUAUAUUUGCCCCUCCAAC
Molecule: long non-coding RNA, 519 nt
Organism: Passer domesticus (house sparrow)
Lineage: Eukaryota; Metazoa; Chordata; Aves; Passeriformes; Passeridae
Exons: 4
Source: RefSeq, a predicted model, not a curated record